GGUGGACCUCGAGGUCCCCGACGACGUCUACAUCCUCGACCACGCCGAGGAGGAAGGGAUCGACCUGCCCUACUCCUGCCGCGCCGGCUCCUGCUCCUCCUGCGCCGGGAAGGUGGUCUCCGGCCAGCUGGACCAGUCCGACCAGAGCUUCCUCGACGACGACCAGAUCGAGGCGGGGUGGGUGCUCACCUGCGCCGCGUACCCCACCUCGGACCUCGUCAUCGAGACCCACAAGGAGGAGGAGCUCACCGCUUGAAUUCACUGAUUUGUUUAGUUCGACCCGUUUCCACCGUGCGCGUGUACCAUGCACGACGUACGAACUGUAUCAGGAUAUUGAGGAGUAGUACAUGCUGCUGUGGUCGGAUUUUGAUUGCUUAUUACUGCCCAGUGUUAAUUUUCUCAAGAACAUUGCUAUACACACGACGCCAUGUGCACGAUUUAUGGACGACACUGUUAAUCAAGCUGUUGGUGUUAGAAAGCAAACUUCAGUACAUCGUCAGAUUUUGCAUCGUCCCUGAA
This 519-nucleotide long non-coding RNA is filed under the name Triticum aestivum (bread wheat). RNAcentral's name for it is "long non-coding RNA (TAES_LNC018093)". Lineage: Eukaryota; Viridiplantae; Streptophyta; Magnoliopsida; Poales; Poaceae. The record is from RNAcentral.